Molecule: long non-coding RNA, 885 nt
Organism: Mauremys reevesii (Reeves's turtle)
Lineage: Eukaryota; Metazoa; Chordata; Testudines; Geoemydidae
Exons: 4
Source: RefSeq, a predicted model, not a curated record
GAGACAUACAUCAUAAGAAAAAAGCAGAAACAGAAACUUUUAAAAAGAUGAAAAGCUUGAAAUAUUGGGAUUUGGUUGUUCUGGUCAGCUGGUUCUGAAAAUGCUGUUCAGUCUGACUCUCCAGGACUUCUAAAGAAUGUGUUUUUUAAGUGGAGAAGGCUGAUAAAAAACAAGUGCAGUGGCUUAGAGGCUGUGGGGAAAAAAUAUAAACAGACCUGGUUCAGAUACAUUCCAAGAUACAGAAGCCUCAGUUGAAGGAGCACUCCUAGGAACGGGAACUUAGAGAUCUCCCAGGUAGUUGGAGGAGGCCCCGCCUGUGAAGGGCUGCAUGCUGCCAGAAAGUCUGAGGGGAUUUUGGAUCUUCCUGAAGCCAUCUAUCGAUUGGACGCCCGUGUCUCCCCUGAUUUAUUUCCUGACACCGCCUUGCACAGAGUAAAAGUUACCAAGAGCUUUGGGUUGAAAGAACCCUGGGUAAGAAGAGGACUGAAUUGUAAGAAUAGGCAAGCCACUCCAGGCUCAGAGCGACAAUUGACAGAGGGUGCCAGAGCUGAAGAGAUUUGUUACACCAUGCUUGGAUAUGCAGGGGCACAGCGGAUGAUGAGUGACCCUCACUGGCCAGCAAACCAGCUAUUACACUGAUUUGCAUCCAUGAUCCUAAAUUUGUGCAAAGGUAUUGGUCUCCCCAUGAAUAUGCUGCCAGAGGUCCUUUAAUGGCAGGUAAGUUAGCAAAGCUCUGUUAUGUAGCUGCCUCAUGAUAGGAAGGCAAAAGAGCCCUUUCCCUACUCCAGCUACCAUUUUACCUUGCUUACAUUUCCUCUUUCAAGGAUAAAUUGUCAAUGUAAGCUACAAAUUUAAAUAUUCAAACUUCUAUAGCUGUCCAAAAUG